This 307-nucleotide long non-coding RNA is filed under the name Rhinopithecus bieti (black snub-nosed monkey). RNAcentral describes it as "lncRNA (ENSRBIG00000046343.1)". Lineage: Eukaryota; Metazoa; Chordata; Mammalia; Primates; Cercopithecidae. The record is from RNAcentral.
AGCAGGUCUUGUUUUCUCCUUUAUUGUGUCAUAAGAGAAUGGCUACGUAGUUCCUUAGAUACUAGCAGUAAGUUGAAGCAUCUGUGAGUCAGUCCUUGGCUAAACGACGAAGGAAUUGAUUGUGACUGUGGAAGCUGUGGGAGCUUUGGAUCUGUUGACUAUUACCAAAAAAAUCAAUUAUAUGUUUUUCAAUGAGGAAGAAGCAAGAGUAAUUUCAUUGAUUUGUCAUGUUAAAAAUGAAAAUGCUACCAGAUACAGAAGUGAUGAAGAUUAUGAUAUUGGAAAUAGAGAUGAAAAAACAAUCUGA